RNAcentral lists this ribosomal RNA (392 nucleotides) under uncultured Lactobacillus sp. RNAcentral describes it as "bacterial SSU rRNA". It matches the Rfam family "Bacterial small subunit ribosomal RNA", at positions 156 to 525 of the family's 1533-position model. Lineage: Bacteria; Bacillati; Bacillota; Bacilli; Lactobacillales; Lactobacillaceae. The record is from RNAcentral.
CAGAUAGCUAAUACCGGAUAACAACAGAUGAUGCUUAUCAACUGUUUAAAGAUGUUCUGCUAUCACUCUUGGGAUGGACCUGCGGUGCAUUAGCUAGUUGGUAGGGGUAACGGGCCUACCAAGGCGAUGAUACAUAGCCCGAGUUGAGAGACUGAUCGGGCCACAUUGGGGACUGAGACACGGGCCCAAACUCCUACGGGAGGCAGCAGUAGGGAAUCUUCCACAAUGGACGCAAGUCUGAUGGAGCAAACGCCGCGUGAGUGAAGAAGGGUUUCGGCUCGUAAAAAGCUCUGUUGUUGGUGAAGAAGGACAGGGGUAGUAACUGACCCUUUGUUUGACGGUAAUCAAUUAGAAAGUCACGGGCUAACUACGUGCCAGCAGCCGCGGUAAAU